RNAcentral lists this ribosomal RNA (1556 nucleotides) under Enterococcus faecium. RNAcentral's name for it is "bacterial SSU rRNA". It matches the Rfam family "Bacterial small subunit ribosomal RNA". The record is from RNAcentral. Lineage: Bacteria; Bacillati; Bacillota; Bacilli; Lactobacillales; Enterococcaceae.
UAUGAGAGUUUGAUCCUGGCUCAGGACGAACGCUGGCGGCGUGCCUAAUACAUGCAAGUCGAACGCUUCUUUUUCCACCGGAGCUUGCUCCACCGGAAAAAGAGGAGUGGCGAACGGGUGAGUAACACGUGGGUAACCUGCCCAUCAGAAGGGGAUAACACUUGGAAACAGGUGCUAAUACCGUAUAACAAUCGAAACCGCAUGGUUUUGAUUUGAAAGGCGCUUUCGGGUGUCGCUGAUGGAUGGACCCGCGGUGCAUUAGCUAGUUGGUGAGGUAACGGCUCACCAAGGCCACGAUGCAUAGCCGACCUGAGAGGGUGAUCGGCCACAUUGGGACUGAGACACGGCCCAAACUCCUACGGGAGGCAGCAGUAGGGAAUCUUCGGCAAUGGACGAAAGUCUGACCGAGCAACGCCGCGUGAGUGAAGAAGGUUUUCGGAUCGUAAAACUCUGUUGUUAGAGAAGAACAAGGAUGAGAGUAACUGUUCAUCCCUUGACGGUAUCUAACCAGAAAGCCACGGCUAACUACGUGCCAGCAGCCGCGGUAAUACGUAGGUGGCAAGCGUUGUCCGGAUUUAUUGGGCGUAAAGCGAGCGCAGGCGGUCCGAGCAACGCCGCGUGAGUGAAGAAGGUUUUCGGAUCGUAAAACUCUGUUGUUAGAGAACUUGAGUGCAGAAGAGGAGAGUGGAAUUCCAUGUGUAGCGGUGAAAUGCGUAGAUAUAUGGAGGAACACCAGUGGCGAAGGCGGCUCUCUGGUCUGUAACUGACGCUGAGGCUCGAAAGCGUGGGGAGCAAACAGGAUUAGAUACCCUGGUAGUCCACGCCGUAAACGAUGAGUGCUAAGUGUUGGAGGGUUUCCGCCCUUCAGUGCUGCAGCUAACGCAUUAAGCACUCCGCCUGGGGAGUACGACCGCAAGGUUGAAACUCAAAGGAAUUGACGGGGGCCCGCACAAGCGGUGGAGCAUGUGGUUUAAUUCGAAGCAACGCGAAGAACCUUACCAGGUCUUGACAUCCUUUGACCACUCUAGAGAUAGAGCUUCCCCUUCGGGGGCAAAGUGACAGGUGGUGCAUGGUUGUCGUCAGCUCGUGUCGUGAGAUGUUGGGUUAAGUCCCGCAACGAGCGCAACCCUUAUUGUUAGUUGCCAUCAUUCAGUUGGGCACUCUAGCAAGACUGCCGGUGACAAACCGGAGGAAGGUGGGGAUGACGUCAAAUCAUCAUGCCCCUUAUGACCUGGGCUACACACGUGCUACAAUGGGAAGUACAACGAGUUGCGAAGUCGCGAGGCUAAGCUAAUCUCUUAAAGCUUCUCUCAGUUCGGAUUGCAGGCUGCAACUCGCCUGCAUGAAGCCGGAAUCGCUAGUAAUCGCGGAUCAGCACGCCGCGGUGAAUACGUUCCCGGGCCUUGUACACACCGCCCGUCACACCACGAGAGUUUGUAACACCCGAAGUCGGAUGGGAAGUACAACGAGUUGCGAAGUCGCAGGUGGGAUAGAUGAUUGGGGUGAAGUCGUAACAAGGUAGCCGUAUCGGAAGGUGCGGCUGGAUCACCUCCUUU